UUACAAGUUAUUAAGAGCACACGGGGAAUGCCUAGGCUCUCAGAGGCGAAGAAGGACGUGAUAAGCUGCGAAAAGCUAUGGGGAUUGGCAAAUACGAUUUGAUCCAUAGAUAUCCGAAUGGGGAAACCCGGCAUUUUGAAGAAAUGUCAUCCGCAAGGAAGCGAACGUGGGGAACUGAAACAUCUAAGUACCCAUAGGAGAAGAAAACAAAAGUGAUUUCCGUAGUAGCGGCGAGCGAAGUGGAAACAGCCCAAACCAUGUUUGUUUCGGCAAAUAUGGGGUUGUAGGACUACAAUAUGGACAUAAUAAAUAUAGUUGAAGACGUUUGGAAAGGCGCAUUAAAGAAGGUGAUAAUCCUGUAGACGAAAUAUUUGUUACACCUAGUAGUAUCCUGAGUAGGGCGGGGCACGUGAAACCCUGUCUGAAUCUACCGGGACCAUCCGGUAAGGCUAAAUACU
Molecule: ribosomal RNA, 458 nt
Filed under: uncultured Cryomorphaceae bacterium
Lineage: Bacteria; Pseudomonadati; Bacteroidota; Flavobacteriia; Flavobacteriales; Cryomorphaceae
Description: bacterial LSU rRNA
Rfam family: Bacterial large subunit ribosomal RNA
Source: RNAcentral